CUAUGAUACCUACAUCAUCAGCAUCCUUUCUCUUUUUUGAUGGAAGAUCAUUAGCUUCAUCAAAAACUAUAUGAAUUGACUCCUCCACUACUAGAGUUCUUUUCUUAAACACUCUAAAAGCUUUGCUAAAAGUAGAAUAUCCAAGAAAGAUAGCUUCAUCAGAUUUAGCAUCAAACUUACCUAAGCUAUCUUUGCCAUAAUUUAAAACAAAGCACCGGCAAUCAAAAACAUG
This 232-nucleotide long non-coding RNA is filed under the name Elaeis guineensis (African oil palm). RNAcentral describes it as "long non-coding RNA (EGUI_LNC043410)". The record is from RNAcentral. Lineage: Eukaryota; Viridiplantae; Streptophyta; Magnoliopsida; Arecales; Arecaceae.